UACGAACUGUGCGAACGUUAUUCGGAAUCACUGGGCUUAAAGGGUGCGUAGGCGGGUUAGUAGGUCAGAUGUGAAAGCCCACGGCUCAACCGUGGAAUUGCGUUUGAAACCACUAGUCUUGAGGGGAUCAGAGGAGAGCGGAACUGAUGGUGGAGCGGUGAAAUGCGUUGAUAUCAUCAGGAACACCGGUGGCGAAAGCGGCUCUCUGGGAUCCUUCUGACGCUGAGGCACGAAAGCUAGGGGAGCGAACGGGAUUAGAUACCCCAGUA
This 269-nucleotide ribosomal RNA is filed under the name uncultured prokaryote. RNAcentral describes it as "partial 16S ribosomal RNA". It matches the Rfam family "Bacterial small subunit ribosomal RNA", at positions 524 to 792 of the family's 1533-position model. The record is from RNAcentral.